AUUGAACGCUGGCGGCAGGCCUAACACAUGCAAGUCGAGCGGAGCGGCGGACGGGUGAGUAAUGCCUAGGAAUCUGCCUGGUAGUGGGGGAUAACGUCCGGAAACGGGAGCUAAUACCGCAUACGAUUGAAUGAGCCGCUGUCGGAUUAGCUAGUUGGCGGGGUAAAGGCACACCAAGGUGAAGAUCCGUAACUGGUCUGAGAGGAUGAUCAGUCACACUGGGACUGAAACAAGGCCCAGACUCCUACGGGAGGCAGCAGUGGGGAAUUAUGGACAAUGGGCGAAAGCCUGAUCCAGCCAUGCCGCGUGUGUGAAGAAGGUCUUCGGAUUUUAAAGCACUUUAAGUUGGGAGGCGUUACCAACAGAAUAAGCACCGGCUAACUUCGUGCCAGCAGCCGCGGUAAUUC
Molecule: ribosomal RNA, 407 nt
Filed under: uncultured bacterium
Lineage: Bacteria
Description: partial 16S ribosomal RNA
Rfam family: Bacterial small subunit ribosomal RNA
Source: RNAcentral